This 689-nucleotide ribosomal RNA is filed under the name uncultured bacterium. Its description in RNAcentral is "bacterial SSU rRNA". It matches the Rfam family "Bacterial small subunit ribosomal RNA", at positions 93 to 779 of the family's 1533-position model. The record is from RNAcentral.
GACCGGCGCUCGGGUGAGUAACACGUAUGCAACCUGCCCGCCACAGGGGGAUAAGCGGAAGAAAUUCCGUCUAAUACCGCGUGACGCGGCGCCGGGGCAUCCCGGUGCCGCCAAAGGGAUUACCGGUGGCGGAGGGGCAUGCGGCGCAUUAGCUAGUCGGCGGGGUAACGGCCCACCGAGGCGACGAUGCGUAGGGGUUCUGAGAGGAAGGUCCCCCACACUGGUACUGAGACACGGACCAGACUCCUACGGGAGGCAGCAGUGAGGAAUAUUGGUCAAUGGGCGCGAGCCUGAACCAGCCAAGUCGCGUGAGGGAUGACGGUCCUACGGAUUGUAAACCUCUUUUGCCGGGGAGCAAGCGUGCGUUCGUGAACGCACGUCGAGAGUACCCGGAGAAAAAGCAUCGGCUAACUCCGUGCCAGCAGCCGCGGUAAUACGGAGGAUGCGAGCGUUAUCCGGAUUUAUUGGGUUUAAAGGGUGCGUAGGCGGGAUGCCAAGUCAGCGGUAAAAAUGCGGUGCUCAACGCCGUCGAGCCGUUGAAACUGGCGUUCUUGAGUGGGCGAGAAGUAUGCGGAAUGCGUGGUGUAGCGGUGAAAUGCAUAGAUAUCACGCAGAACUCCGAUUGCGAAGGCAGCAUACCGGCGCCCUACUGACGCUGAGGCACGAAAGCGUGGGUAUCGAACAGGAUU